AAGGGUAUGUGACUCCUCCGUUUGUCUCGCUGUGGCCAGCAGAGGGCUGUAUCCUGAGCAGCAGUGAUGGCCACAGUGAGAAAUACUCCAGAGAGCUGCCAUUGAAAUAUGAAGACUCUUGAUUUGUCUAACCAGGCGUUGUAUAUGUCGGUGUGUUUGCUGGGAUCCAGGUUGAGUGUUGGCUGAAAACACAGGCAGCUCCAGCUGGACAGAUUUGAACUGCCAAGAAAAUCCCAGCUGAAACUAUCUGUGAUAAUAGCGAUUUAAGGAUGACAAUCUCAGUCAUUCUCGGCUCAAACACUUUUGAGCACCCUGAGACUCUGUGGCACUGAUGCUCGGGUUAUUUUGGGAAGGCUGGAUGUGUCUGCUGGAGGGUGUGAGGACGUUUGCUCCCGGUGAGAGUCAGGAGCGAAGCAGGCAGAGGCGGGACGGGCCGGGGGAAGUUUACAAUUGCAGGCCAGGCAUCAGACACACAGCAGCACUAGAGGAGGGGAGAGGUCACCUCAAAGGUCAUUGUUAUCAUCAGAAGUCCAUGAUGCAGUUCUGCAGAGAUCAGAUACGGGGUGUGUGUGUGUGUGUGUGUGUGUGUGUGAUACUCUCAGCUUAUCAUGACAACAACUGAUUUCAUCUGAGAAUGUGAUUGAUAAACAGAGAGAGAAAGAGAGAGAGUCAGAAUGAAAGAAGGAUGGACUUCCUGUAGCUUGAUGCUCAUAUUUCAGGAUAGGGCUGCAUGAUUAAACAAAAUAAAACCAAAAUCACAAUAUGGCUUAACUUAAAUCAAAAAGGCUGUGAUUUAAUUAGCACAUUUAUAUUUUUGUGUGUGUCAGAGUGAAGCGUGACGCUGUGUUCAUUUACACGUGAGCAGCUCAAAAAAAUGGCUUUCUGCUUUCUGCCAAAAUAAAAGCUUUAAGGUUUAAUUUGUACAAAUGAAGAAAUCCAUAAACAGCACUGUUAUUUUUAUAGUUGAUGUUGUUUAUAACAAUAUAAUAAUAUUAUUUUCUUAAAUAUGCAAUUUAGUAUUCUACACUGAAAUAAUAUUUAAUAUUGCAUUUCAUUUAAUACUGCAUUUAACAUUUCAUAAAUAUUCGAAAUCGUGCAGCCCUGUUUUAGGGUAUCCUACGAAAAAAACCCUUGUGUUGUUCCAAACCUGAAAGAUUUUGUCUUCCCACAGCUCUCAAAUCUCUCCAAUUACAUGAAAACUAAUGCUGUCUGUUGUCAUAUCUCAUGUUUUAAACAUAUUUAAUAAAAUACAAAUGAGAUUCUAGAAGUGCAUUUCUUAAACGCAAUAGAAAUGCAAUUCCUUUUAGUGAAAAGUUCUUAAAACCAUCAUUUUAUCUUGUUUUUUUCACUAUAAAGAACAUUUGUGGAAUAGAUGUUAAAGGUUCUUUGUGGAACCCUUGAAGCCAAUAAAGAACCUUUCAUUUCAAGACUGUAUGAUGCUUUUAUGUUGUUUUUUUGGUUGUUAUUUAGUUUAGUCUGUUUUCACUGUAAUGUAUAAAAGCAGUGAAAUCUUUCUUCAAAAACCUGUUCAUACAGGUUUAGAACAACAUCAGUGUCAGUAAAUGAUUUUUGCCCGAUUAUUCACUCCUCUUGAUCUAUUAAAUGUCUCCUACUCCAAGCUAAACCACCAUUUACAUGGGAAUGAAAAGGUGCCGUGAGGAAAACACAGGAAAAAAGGAAGCCAUAAGCCCAUCAGUUCGUUCCUCUGUUACCCAUAAUCCCUCAGGAGCACCCAGAAUCUUCCCCUCUGGGUGCGAAAUGCCUCGUAAA
This is a long non-coding RNA of Sinocyclocheilus grahami, 1770 nucleotides long. The record is from Ensembl. Lineage: Eukaryota; Metazoa; Chordata; Actinopteri; Cypriniformes; Cyprinidae.